Molecule: small nucleolar RNA, 130 nt
Organism: Xenopus tropicalis (tropical clawed frog)
Lineage: Eukaryota; Metazoa; Chordata; Amphibia; Anura; Pipidae
Source: Ensembl
CAAGCCCUUUUCACUUUACCAUUUGGAUCUCUGUGUCUAUAAUGGUCAUUCAAGAGGGCAACAGAAAUAUCCCCUUAAAACCCAGGCAAAUGCUUAAUAUUUUGCUUGUGUCCUGUCAGAGGAAACAGUA